AUCUAUGAUUCAAAGUUAAAGAACGUUGAUGAUAGAAAAAAGCUAUUGAUGGACUUGGCAGAUGGAAAUAUCGACAUAGAAGAGUUUCGGAAAAUAACAAAAGGAUCAGGAUAAUAAAAAAGCUUCAGCAGCAUUUUUUUUUCAAAUUGAUACAUAUAUUCCCAAUUUUAUGUUAUAUGUCAUAAAAUAUACUCUGCUUCUAUUAUAGAAUACAGCGUGUACAAAAGAAAAAUAUCAGCAACGACAGUAAAAAGAAAACAAAAGAAUCCGAAAUGAAGGGAAAUGAAGACCAGUUACAGACAGGAGAAUUGGUGGAACAAGAGGAAGACGAUUUGGAACAAAACGAAGAACCUAGCCUAAACAGAACUGCCGAGCUGAUGAAAGAAACAAAUGAUCUUAAAGAACAACUCAAGCAAACUCUUGCCGUAAAAGAAAACAAAUCAAUGGAGGAGAAGCUCAAACUCAGACAAAUUUGUUAUUAGAGUGGUACCUUCAACAUUGAAUGUGUGUUAGUAAAAUUUACCAACCUGUUGAAUACACGCCUUCCAGAUGCUCCCGCGAAGUAACAGAAGCCCUAACACUUGGCAUUAGAGAUCCCUUCAUCUCAGUGAUAGCAGACACUCAAAAGUUAAUUUAGAACCGUGGCUGCUGAUGUCUCAUUAUAGACCAGACAAAACACGAAGACAUGAGAUAGGAUGUGAAGGAAACAGAGCAAGUCACAGACAAAAUUAACGACCCCCUUUUCAUAAACAUGACGGAGUUUGAUGAGAACAUCAAAGCCAAGCGCAUAAUAACCUUGAAUCUACCUGUCCAGGUUUGAUGCGUUAUCCUACAAAAUGUGAAAUUGCAAAUAUUGCAAUUUGACAUGACUUUUAUGAUAAAUUUGUCGAUCGUAGUGAUUUUGAAUAUUGUGAAAUGGAUACGGACAGUCCUUACACGGCUUUUUCAAGCAACAGCCUCGAAGAAAUUGUCAUACACUUAUUAAUGGAUAUUAAUCACGGACUUUAUAAUUUCUGUGCCGAUGUCGACAUAGAAGAAGACAAUUUUACUCAUUGGCUUCAAUGUUGUGAUAAAAACAACCUGUACGACACAAAAACGCCUGAAGUUUUCAAAACACAGUUUUUUUAGCCACGAAAUGACAAGUAUGUUCUAAGACAUAUGUAAUUAACAAAACAACUCCAGUAAAUGUAAGAAUGGAGAUGAAAGCCUACCAGCUCUUGCGGAAAGCAAGAGGUAAUCCCCAAAGCAACGACCAAGAACUAUUCGCAACGCAAAAUCAUUUGCAAAGAUAUAUAGGAGUCUGAUUCACGCAUCGCUUCCAUUUUCAGACGUGUCAUGAAAACCUAGAAUUCAGCUAAUGGAUUUAACGAAGAGUUUCUGGCAAAACACAAUUCUGUAUUAACAUACAAACAAUACCUUGUUGUAAUGUAUACUUUUAUUGUAAACGAAAAGUCUUAGAUAACAGCAUUGACAUUUAAGUGUUAAACCUCGAGUUGUGUUCGCAAAACGAGAAUUUUUGAAUGAGAAAAUGUCUUAAACCCUAUGGGAAUGAUAAAUGAGUUAAAUUUACUGAACAUUUACAUUUUGUUGUUUCUUUAUGCUUACAAUGCACUUUAUAACUUUACGAGGUUUAAUGUUUGUUAUAACAAUUUAUAAUCUCUUAAUAAUUAUACUCUUUGGAGUUAAAGGUUCUUCUAUAUGUAAUACUGUCAAAAUCAAACAAGAGGGGAAUUAACAUUCAAUAUUGUGCGAGCUCCCUUAACGGUAUUAAUUAGUCUUAACUUCAUUACAAGUUUAAAAACCUCUGAGGGAAAAAUAUAUUGCUCAUUAUUAAAACGUAUAAUCAAGAACAGAUUAAUACAUCAAUGUAUUAAAGAAGGGAAGAUGCGAGACUUAUCAAAGUUUAUAUUAUGGAGUAAGAAAUAUAAUCUGAUGGGUUAUAUUCUGAUCGUAAACAAAAGAUUUCUUUUAUCAAUGGAAGAAAAUAAUUCGUGGUAACUUUAUUCGUUUGUAACUUUAUAUUCUUAUAGUUAAAAUGAGAUUUAAACAAAAUCAUUUUGUCUUCAAGGAACCGAAACGGCAAGUUUAGUUUAAGUAAUAUGUAUCGUCGAAGAAGGAGACCUGCACAUCCUUGCGGCAGAUAAUUUAAGAUUGUAAAUGUUGAAGCUAGUCCUGUCGCAAAUUUGCUUAAUACUUCGAUUGUUUCAAAUUUAUUACGAACAUUUCAUUGUGUAUAUAUAGAAUGUAUUAGAGAGUAUACCUGCGUAAUGUUCUACAAAUACAUGUAUCUUUAUUUUGUUAUCCACAACAUUUAAAAGUUAAACAUAAUUACAAAUUGUUUUACAUGCACAAAUGUAUACAUAUUUGCGAAUGUGUGUAAAUGUAUCGUAAAUUUUUCUCCAUGCAAUUAAAAACUUAGAAUAGUAAGAAAUAUAAAAACAAAUUGUUUAUUCAAUAUAUUUACCUAAUACAAAUAUAAUAUAUCCUAUCUGACACCCCAGGUGAAGACAUAUUUAGAGGGUCUCUAUGGAGAUAUUACCUCGCAAUCAGCUAUAUUUGUUUCUGAAAAUAGUGGGGUAAAUUGUACAAUCCGUUAGUCUAAAGAAAGUGAUUCUCUAAUAACUGCUUUCAUGCUUUGCACAAUGAACUGUUUUAAGGAAGCAAUCAUUGCGACUUUGCCUAAGCUAGCUGCUCAAAAUUCCCAUAGACUCCUUCACCUGUGGAAAACAGCCGAGACGUGGAAUAAGGUUGUCCUACUUCACCAACAGGAGAGACCUAGUUGCACUGGACUUCUGUCCCCGGACUUGGCGUCCGAAGAGAGGGGGUUUGGAAGCAGAAUGAGGCUCCGCGGCACCAAGUGUAGCUACUCGCCUAGGUUACAACCUAUAUAAGGAGGUAAAGGUAUACACCAAAUACCUUGGUAGAAAGGCAGCUAAAACUAAUUAUGGUCUGCAAGUUGGGCUCAGUCAAACUCAUGUGGGUAUUGAUGGAAUGCGGAAAAUUCUUCUCUAUACUAAUACUCCUCCUUCUGUUCAUAGGCUCCUACAUAAAGCAUAUAAUAAAGUUUUUGGCCUCGAUUCAAAACCUCAACGAAACUGACAGGAGUGACAGGUAUCACCGGCUGGAAGAGGGGAACACUCUUUGGGGAAAUGAGUUCCCACUUACUAUCCCUGUACAAUGUGAUGUCAUGUAGAAUAACCCGUUUACUCGGGGUGAGUGAGAUACCCUCUCAGCCGGCGAUACAAACUGUGUACUCAUUUAUUGCGAAUGUCACCUUAAAACGCCAGAUCAUUAAAAUAGUGACUAAAAGUAAGAUAUGCUCUAAACAUGGUCAAUUAAUUAACGAGGGCUCUCGUGACAAAUUCAAUCCCGGGGUAUGGAGGCGAACCUCCCGAUGCAUCACACAAAAGAGAGUGAGUUUACGUGGCUAUUGGGAGGGGGGCUUAUGACAGAUUUCUUUCUUCUGUGAGGAUGUCCUAGAGAUGUGGGAAGUCAUCAACGGUCUAGACAGCUCCACUGGUCGUGUUGCAGUCUCUCUCUACAAGGAUGGUCUGCUAGAAAAUAAGCCAUGUCACUAUAUUGACACUCCAGACCUGUCUGAGAGCAUAAGAAAAGCAAAUGCAAAAGAGACCAGAACCUAUUGAGAUCACGCCAAAAAGAACUAAAGCAGAGAAAACCAAACUUUUGCAUAACUUUGCCCUUGAUGCUGUUGACAGGUGUACAGCUGAAACUAGAAAUGUAAACUCAUAUUGGCUACUGCUCGGGAAUCCAGUGACCGUUAACUUUUUUAAAUAUUUGCCAAAUUAUAAUGAGCUACCUACGAGACUCUAUAGUUAUAUUAUGCCCAUUACUUUAAUACAUGUAUGUAAUGAAAAUUGUUAUAUUUACUAAUGUGUAUAUAAAGGUGGUGUCAAAUUUUAGUGAAACAAGAAGUAAACCCAAAGUAAACCCAGAAAGAUAACUCGGGGUUUAGUUGGGGUUUGCUCUGGUGUUAGGUUGGUUCUGAUCGGCACUGUUCAAUUCUGAUGAGCUUAUUGCUAUAAGUUGAAAUUAAAAAUAAGUAUGUGCCUUGUCCGCAUCUUCGCUAGCCAAGGGUUUUCGGUCCACUUUGCUCCCCAUAAAUCCUUGGCGGAUUUCAUUACGAAAACUCAGUGACAAGCUCCGUUUUAUGAUUGGCUGCAGCUGCGAGUAGCUGAUCCAAUCGCAGUGCUUGUAAAUAUAAACUAAGAAAGAAAACACAUGUGUGAUCUUUGGUAAAACAUUCGGUGCUUUUAACAAGUUGAGACACAAGUUCUCGAGUACAGUACCUCUCCAACGAUGGUCUAACCAGAUCGCUUUAAAAACCAAUACACAUGUAUAUUUUACUGGGAUUGACCAUAGUUCUACAAACUUGUCAAGGCUCGCGUGAUAGCAUGGGAAGUAAACAUGGCGAAUGUAGAACUGAGUUGCCUAUCCUGUUAGUAUAUACGUUCCUGCUUAUGGUUAUUGCUUUUUAAGGUUCAGUGAGCUCUGUUUUAUUUAAUUUCUUUGGUCCGCAAUACUCACGACAACGAUACCUGAUUUUAUGGCAUGAAAGCUUUCAUCGGCGACUUUUUCACUCCCGGUACAGGUCCUUACAAAACACUAUAGGUAGCAAGGGACAGUUUCGAAUAAAGUACCCGUCAAUAUUUUUGUAAAAUUGAGAGUUGCUGUACUUGAAGGCUUAUGAGUGUUGCUAAAAUUCAUGAAAUGAUUUUUAAUGAAUAUCAUUAGUUAGAGGGGUGUCUCUUGUUGAAAUUGAUAUGCAAUAUGUAGGCCCCUUAUGUUAGGUACAUGAGAAUCAGAAGUAAAAUGCGAAACCUGCGGCUUUGACUGUUGUGCUGACUUUACACAGUGAAAUUGCUAGUUACAGACGGGAGGUAAAAUAACACGAAAAGUAGGUGGAUGGGACAUUGUACACUAUACACCGGUAAGUUUCUGACAUGUGAUAGUGCAGCAUGCACGCGGUACGGAAGGUCAACCCUCUGCAGGGAAUUAGCUGGGGGAGGUCUAAAAAGCUGAAAAAUCAUGAAAAAUUAGCAAAAUAUGAAAGGGUCAAAAUCUCAUAAAAACCAGUAUGUAGAGAAUUUUACAGGUUUUGAUUAGCAAUUUUCUUCAGAAAUUGGUGAUUGGCCUUAUAAAAGUGAAUUAAAGGUAUUUGUGCUGAAUGGGAACUGAGGAAACUGUAGUUACAGAGUUCCGAAGACAUGCAUCCCUUGGCUACAAUGAAUUGGAUCAAAAAAACUGUCCCCUGCCACCUUCAAGACUACAUGGUAUUUUCAUAUUUCUCCUUUAAGUGUAAUUUUGAGUGGAUUUUGUACCAUAAGUAAUACAUUUUGUGAAAAUGGAUGAUUUUCUUGGCUAUAGAUGUCAUGACAUCAUUUAUUAGCUAAAAUAUUCAAGGGGAGUAACUCCCUCUUAAAUGUGUAGAAUGACCACCACUAGAGUAAAUUGGCUUAGAGAGUAGGCAUUUCCUAUCCUGAUGACAAUUCAUAGGCUUAAGUUAAUUACUGAGAUAAGAAUAAAGACUUUAAAACAGUUUUUAUCAAUUAAAUCAUUAAAUUCAUGAAUUGGCAGCCAUUUUGCUGUCUGAUUUUAUGAAAUAACAUUAGUCCACCUGACUUAUAUCACCCAAUUUUUUUAAAACAGCAUAUUUUUAUUUCAAAUGAACUUUACAUGUAGACAAAUGCAGUUAUCAAAGUAUACCAUAUGUCAAAAAACUCAAGUUUUUGCUCCUUCCUAUCAAAAAAUGGUAUUUUAGAUGUAUUUACAGAAUUGAAAAAGCCACCCCCUCUUUCCAAUGGACUCCAUUACCAUUACAUGUAGGAUAUGUAACUGUACAUUUGACCUUGAAAUAACAUCUGCUAUGAUAAUUACUCUUGAAAUGAACAAAAAACAACAUAUGUUUACCCUUUUAUUGUAUAUAUGCAUCAAAAAUGUAGAAAAACAUGUAAAAUUUGAACCUUUUUCAUGGAAUUCUCAUCCGUCCCCAGGUACCCGGGUGUGUUUGAAUUUCAUUUUAAUUAAACGCACAUGUCACACUUGUAGGUCUUACUAAUUUAGCAAAGUUAAAAUGAGACUAGAAACCAGAAUAUAUAAGAUAUCCACUAAAUAUGAUUAUAGGCUUAGUUUUUCAUGAAAACAAGAAAUCACAUGUAGGGCGACAUGACUUUUUGUGAAUAAAAAUGCUACAAAUCAUCCAUUUACCAAAAAAGAUCAAUUUUAAAUAUCAGUGAUGGUUGUUUUCAAAUAUGUGUAAGAAAUGACUCAAGGAAACUGCCACAAGUUUCAUAAUAUUAGGUUAAAGUGUUCAAACUAAUGCUUCUUGUGAAAAUCAAAAGAUAGGGGGAGGGUAUACAUGUAAAGGGAUUUCUAAGUGAUGUGAUGCUUUUAUCAUGAUAAUAUCAAGCAGAUGCAUGUAGUAUUCAAUAAGGUUUCUUAUUUAAGGAGGUUGAACAACAGUUGACCUCUAAAAGAUUAGGUAAAGAUGCUUUAUUUAUGG
Molecule: long non-coding RNA, 6520 nt
Organism: Magallana angulata
Lineage: Eukaryota; Metazoa; Mollusca; Bivalvia; Ostreida; Ostreidae
Exons: 4
Source: RefSeq, a predicted model, not a curated record